Non-coding RNA from Globicephala melas (long-finned pilot whale), 1047 nucleotides. NCBI's taxonomy places the organism in Eukaryota, Metazoa, Chordata, Mammalia, Artiodactyla, Delphinidae. The record is from RefSeq and is a predicted model, not a curated record.
AGCAACAGACGAAGGAAGUGGUUCCCAUAACUCCGAGAAGAGGUUUCAACUGGCCCUCUUUUUCUUGCUCCUUGGAAUGUCGUUCUAAGGGAAGACUUGGGUCCAUCCAGAAUGCAGAUGAAAGCAUCCAGAGGACUACGAGUUCUGGUACAUUGAAAUUUUGCUGUGUCGUUUCUGAGCAGAGAUGUGCUGAAGCUUACUUGCCUCAAACAAGAAAAAUCUAGUUGUUGGAAGACUGACUCCAAAGAAAGAAGACUUGGAUGAAGAGAAUAUUGGACAAGGACCUAGUAUACAUGUGAAAGCUGUAUUUGUUUGAUGUUUAUUAUUGAGAAAUACCUUCUUGGGGAAGAAAAGGCCAGUCUUUGGUUUGUUCUUCUCUUUUGAUGGGAGUCAACUCUUCUAUUCGACUUCAAGAAUGUAUUUUGGGAGCCUGGUAUUCCCAGUUGCCUGUCACCCUCCCAGUAUUCAAGUACAACCACUUCCACCUGGUGCCCUUCCACCAGCUUCCUAGGAUAAUUCUAGAAAAGUCUCACACCAAGCCUUGCCCAUAGCAGGAUUAGAGUUCCUGGGACUAAGAGAAGCAGAUCCUCAGAAACGAAAGAUUAUUUGCCUUUUAUAACUAGAAAGACAAGACGCAUUAUACAGUUCUUGAAAGUCACGAAGCUAGUAAUGAAAAUGUUAAGGGGCAUUGCAACAUAGUAUGAUUUGGAAUGGAUGGAAAAUAUGCCUCUCCGACUUCCCUGGUGGCUCAGCGGAUAAGAAUCUGUCUGCAAAUGCAGGGGACAUGGGUUCGAGCCCUGGUUAGGGAAGAUCCCACAUGCCGCGGAGCAACUAAGCCCGUAUGCCACAACUACUGAGCCUGCGCUCUAGAGCCUGUGAGCCACGACUACUGAGCCCGCGUGCCGCACCUACUGAAGCCUGCUCACCUAGAGCCCGUGCUCCACAACAAGAGAAGCCAUCGCAAUGAGAAGCCCGCGCACCGCAACGAAGAGUAGCCCCUGCUCGCCACAACUAGAGAAAGCCCGCGUGCAACAACAAAGACCCAAC